Molecule: long non-coding RNA, 245 nt
Organism: Mobula hypostoma (lesser devil ray)
Lineage: Eukaryota; Metazoa; Chordata; Chondrichthyes; Myliobatiformes; Myliobatidae
Exons: 3
Source: RefSeq, a predicted model, not a curated record
CUAAUCACCCGAGUGGGGUUGCUGUUCAGAAGCUAGACCUCCCAGGCACGAAGCUGAGAAGCCCGGUGUGAAGAGCAUCCUGCCACUCGCUGCCCUUUCGACUGCUUUACUGACAAGAUCACGAUGCUGCCUGGCCUGCUGAGUUCCUGCAACACUUUGUGUCAGUUGCCAUUCAUCGCCUCCGUGCUUCUGUAUGAGGGUGUCUGAUGACAAGCAAGAGAAAAUCUGCAGAAGCUGGAAAUCUA